Molecule: long non-coding RNA, 104 nt
Organism: Homarus americanus (American lobster)
Lineage: Eukaryota; Metazoa; Arthropoda; Malacostraca; Decapoda; Nephropidae
Exons: 3
Source: RefSeq, a predicted model, not a curated record
UGGACCAAGGCAGGAGGUAGUGGACCAAGGCAGGAGGUAGUGGACCAUGGCAGGAGGUAGUGGACCAAGGCAGGAGGUAGUGGACCAAGGCAGGAGGUAGUGGG